RNAcentral lists this ribosomal RNA (253 nucleotides) under uncultured bacterium. Its description in RNAcentral is "partial 16S ribosomal RNA". It matches the Rfam family "Bacterial small subunit ribosomal RNA", at positions 524 to 776 of the family's 1533-position model. The record is from RNAcentral.
UACGUAGGGGGCAAGCGUUGUCCGGAAUCAUUGGGCGUAAAGCGCGUGUAGGCGGCCAGAUAAGUCCGCUGUGAAAUCUCGAGGCUCAACCUCGAGACGCCGAUGGAAACCAUCUAGCUAGAGUCCGGAAGAGGAGAGUGGAAUUCCUGGUGUAGCGGUGAAAUGCGCAGAUAUCAGGAAGAACACCCGUGGCUAAGGCGGCUCUCUAGUACGGUACUGACGCUGAGACGCGAAAGCGUGGGGAGCGAACAGG